This 220-nucleotide unclassified non-coding RNA is filed under the name plant metagenome. RNAcentral describes it as "partial contains small subunit ribosomal RNA, internal transcribed spacer 1, and 5.8S ribosomal RNA". The record is from RNAcentral.
UUUCCGUAGGUGAACCUGCGGAAGGAUCAUUACAGAGUUCAUGCCCUCACGGGUAGAUCUCCCACCCUUGAAUAUUUAUACCUUAGUUGCCUUGGCAGGCCGUGGAAACACCAUGGGCUCCGGCUUAUGCGUGCCUGCCAGAAGAAACAAACUCUGUUUUUAGUGAUGUCUGAGUACUAUAUAAUAGUUAAAACUUUCAACAACGGAUCUCUUGGUUCUG